GAUGAACGCUGACAGAAUGCUUAACACAUGCAAGUCUUUGGUGAAGCUGUGCUUGCUCAGCCUAGCCAAGGCGGACGGGUGAGUAACGCGUAAGGAACUUGCCCUGCAGUCAGGGAUAACAGACGGAAACGACUGAUAAGACCUGGUAAAGUCAGGCGGACUCAUGUCCAGCCUGAUGAAAAGAGAUGCUGCAGGAGAGCCUUGCGUCCUAUUAGCUUGUUGGUGGGGUAACGGCCCACCAAGGCAAUGAUAGGUAGCCGGCCUGAGAGGGUGGACGGCCACAAGGGGACUGAGAUACGGCCCUUACUCCUGCGGGGGGCAGCAGUGGGGAAUAUUGGACAAUGGGGGCAACCCUGAUCCAGCAGUUCUGUGUGCACGAUGAAGGUUUUCGGAUUGUAAAGUGCUUUCAGCAGGGAAGAAAAAAAUGACGGUACCUGCAGAAGAAGCGACGGCUAAAUACGUG
Molecule: ribosomal RNA, 463 nt
Filed under: uncultured bacterium
Lineage: Bacteria
Description: partial 16S ribosomal RNA
Rfam family: Bacterial small subunit ribosomal RNA
Source: RNAcentral